AGGGCGUAUGGUGGAUGCCUUGGCAGACAGGACCGAUGAAGGACGUUUGAGGCUGCGAUAUGCCUCGGGGAGCCGCCAACAGGGCUUUGAUCCGAGGAUUUCCGAAUGGGGGAACCCACCGACCGUCAUGGGUCGGUACCGGCUUCGGCCGGGGGGUACGCAGGGAAGUGAAACAUCUCAGUACCUGCAGGAAAGGAUAUUCCGUGAGUAGUGGCGAGCGAAAGCGGAUGAUGGCCAAACCUUGCGCGUGUGAUACCCGUCGGGGGUUGCGCGCGGGGUGUUGCGGGAUCGCGUGCGCCGGCUCCGACGGGCCGGCCGGCAGUUGCAGAAAACCAUGUGUCAGGGGAACCGGGUUGAAUACCGGGCCGCAGAGGGUGAGGGCCCCGUACCUGAACGCGCAUGGUCUGCCGAUCGCGUCUCCCAAGUAGCACGGGUCCCGUGGAACCCCGUGCGAAUCCGCCCAGACCGUUGGGUAAGCCUGAAUAUUCCUGUCUGACCGAUAGCGAACGAGUACCGUGAGGGAAAGGUGAAAAGUACCCCGGGAGGGGAGUGAAACAGUCUCUGAAACCGUGCGCCUACAAUCCGUCGGAGCCCUUUUGUGGGGUGACGGCGUGCCUAUCGAAAAAUGAGUCUGCGAGUCAGUGGCAUGUGGCGAGCAUAACCCGUGUGGGGUAUGCGUAGCGAAGGCGAGUCUUAAAAGGCGUUUAAAGUCGCGUGUCCUGGACCCGAAGCGGGAUGAUCUAGCCCUGAGCAGGUUGAAGCGCGGGUAAGACCGCGUGGAGGACCGAACCCACCUGGGUUGAAAACCGGGGGGAUGACUUGGGGCUAGGGGUGAAAGGCCAAUCAAAUUCCGUGAUAGCUGGUUCUCUCCGAAAUGCAUUUGGGUGCAGCGUCGGGUCAUUACGUCCCGGGGGUAGAGCUACUGGAUGCUUGCGGGCCCGUAUCGGGUACCAACAGCAACCAAACUCCGAAUACCGGUGACGCGUAUCCCGGCAGUGAGUCGGCGGGGGAUAAGCUUCGUCGUCGAAAGGGAAACAGCCCAGACCGUCGUCUAAGGUCCCGAAGCGUGUGCUAAGUGGGAAAGGAUGUGGAGUCGCAUAGACAGCCAGGAGGUUGGCUCAGAAGCAGCCACCCUUGAAAGAGUGCGUAACAGCUCACUGGUCUAGUGGUUCCGCGCCGACAAUGUAGCGGGGCUCAAGCACACCACCGAAGACGCGGCAGUAUUUUGUACUGGGUAGGAGAGCGUCCCAUGAGGGGCGAAGCGGCCGUGUGAACGCGCCGUGGACUUCAUGGGAGUGAGAAUGCAGACAUGAGUAGCGAGAGACGGGUGAAGAUCCCGUCCGCUGGAUGACCAAGGGUUCCAGGGCCACGUUCAUCGUCCCUGGGUGAGUCGGGUCCUAAGGCGAGGCCGACAGGCGUAGUCGAAUGGAUGAACGGGUCGAUAUUCCCGUACCGGCUUUCAGCCGCCAAAACCGAGGCUUGGAGUACUAACCUCCGGGUCCGGGCUUACUGCUCCUUCGGGGGCGGGAUGCCUUGGCCUGUUGGGACCGAUCCUUGUAGUAGGUCAGCGCAGGAGUGACGCAGAAGGGUAGCCGGCCGCGGAGGUGGUCUUCCGUGGUCAAGCACGCAGGGCGUGGGACAGGCAAAUCCGUCCCGCAUGGGUCCGAGGUGCGAUGAUGGGGGCCUUAUGGCCCGAUAUCCGGUGAUCCCGGCUGCCGAGAAAAGCUUCGGCGUCAGGCUCAAAGCCGCCCGUACCCCAAACCGACACUGGUGGUCAGGUAGAGAAUACCAAAGCGAUCGAGCGAAUCCUGGUCAAGGAACUCGGCAAAUCACUCCCGUUCCUUCGGUUUAAGGGAGACCCCCGAUGGUGAACACACUUGCUGUGGGAGCUUUUGGGGGUGGCACAGACCAGGGGGUAGCGACUGUUUACCAAAAACACAGGAGCAUGCGAAGGCGCAAGCCGCUGUAUAUGCACUGACGCCUGCCCGGUGCCGGAAGGUUAAGAGGAUCCGUCAGCCUUCGGGUGAAGCGGUGAAUUCAAGCCCCGGUAAACGGCGGUGGUAACUAUAACCAUCCUAAGGUAGCGAAAUUCCUUGUCGGGUAAGUUCCGACCUGCACGAAUGGCGUAACGACUUCCCCACUGUCUCGACCAGGAGCUCGGCGAAAUUGCAGUACGAGUAAAGAUGCUCGUUAAGCGCAGAAGGACGAAAAGACCCCGGGACCUUUACUAUACCUUGGUAUUGGCAUUCGGUGUGGAUUGUGUAGCAUAGGCGGGAGGCCGAGAGGCGCGGUCGCCAGAUCGCGCGGAGCCGUAAGGUGAAAUACCGCUCUGUUCGCAUUGGAUGUCUAACCUCGAACAGUCAUCCUGUUCAGGGACAGUGCCUGGCGGGUAGUUUAACUGGGGCGGUUGCCUCCCAAAGAGUAACGGAGGCGC
RNAcentral lists this ribosomal RNA (2434 nucleotides) under uncultured bacterium. RNAcentral describes it as "bacterial LSU rRNA". It matches the Rfam family "Bacterial large subunit ribosomal RNA", at positions 14 to 2309 of the family's 2925-position model. The record is from RNAcentral.